AUUGAACGCUGGCGGCAGGCCUAACACAUGCAAGUCGAGCGGAUGAAGGGAGCUUGCUCCUGGAUUCAGCGGCGGACGGGUGAGUAAUGCCUAGGAAUCUGCCUGGUAGUGGGGGAUAACGUCCGGAAACGGGCGCUAAUACCGCAUACGUCCUGAGGGAGAAAGUGGGGGAUCUUCGGACCUCACGCUAUCAGAUGAGCCUAGGUCGGAUUAGCUAGUUGGUGGGGUAAAGGCCUACCAAGGCGACGAUCCGUAACUGGUCUGAGAGGAUGAUCAGUCACACUGGAACUGAGACACGGUCCAGACUCCUACGGGAGGCAGCAGUGGGGAAUAUUGGACAAUGGGCAAAGCCUGAUCCAGCCAUGCCGCGUGUGUGAAGAAGGUCUUCGGAUUGUAAAGCACUUUAAGUUGGGAGGAAGGGCAGUAAGUUAAUACCUUGCUGUUUUGACGUUACCAACAGAAUAAGCACCGGCUAACUUCGUG
RNAcentral lists this ribosomal RNA (483 nucleotides) under uncultured bacterium. Its description in RNAcentral is "partial 16S ribosomal RNA". It matches the Rfam family "Bacterial small subunit ribosomal RNA", at positions 30 to 507 of the family's 1533-position model. The record is from RNAcentral.